AUGAGCCGUGGGAGGUCUCCGGAGCCGCUUGAUUUCUUCAUAUGGACUGUCGAGGACGUCGGCUUGUGGCUUGAAGAGAUAAAUCUUGGUGGCUACAGACAAGUUUUUGAAGAAAAUAGUGUCAAUGGAGAGUAUCUGGAGAGCUUGUCGAUGUUUACUACCGAGCAGAUUCUGCGGUUUAUCAGGCGGUGCCAUAUGAAAUGGGGAGACUUUAUCACAUUGUGCAAAGAGUUGAGGCGCAUUAAAGUUGCCUGCCUGAAAGGGGAGCAAGAAGUCCGGAGGCCAUGGUGGGCACCAUCUUGCCUAUCAGUGGUGUUUGUGAGGGCGGCAAAGCGGAACCGACAGUCCCGAGUUGUCUCCCUGAAGCUGGAACCUUGA
This 378-nucleotide ribosomal RNA is filed under the name Triticum aestivum (bread wheat). Its description in RNAcentral is "partial small subunit ribosomal RNA". Lineage: Eukaryota; Viridiplantae; Streptophyta; Magnoliopsida; Poales; Poaceae. The record is from RNAcentral.